GCCUUCGUGGUGUAGUGGUCAGCACGCUUGGCGUGUAUUCGAGAGGUCCGUGGUUUGAAUCCCGCCAAAGGCA
This is a non-coding RNA of Stegodyphus mimosarum, 73 nucleotides long. Lineage: Eukaryota; Metazoa; Arthropoda; Arachnida; Araneae; Eresidae. The record is from Rfam.